GUAACAAACAGGGGCUUAAUCUCCACCAAACAGGGGUAAAAUAUUUUUUGCUGUCUGACCACUUGUAUCUAUUCAAGUUUUCACCUCCAUUACAAUAUCAAUAGAUCAAUUAUGACACCUAUGAGAGGGAUAUAUGUACUAAACAAUGUGAAUGUGUUUUUGGGCAUAUAUGCUAAAUGCUAGUCAUUGAGAUGAAGUUAAUACAGUAAAUCAUGCUGAUGAAUGUUAGCUAACUGUUGAUUCUUCGGCAUCCAGCCCAUGUUUACCAUGAAGACGGUAGAAUUUCAGGUUUUAAUGUCACAGGACCUGUGUGCUUCCCAUGACAUUUUUUGUAAAUUUCAUUUCUGCUGGCAUAAAAUGCAGUCUCUUUUGCCAUUAGAUGAAGAAUAUCUAAAAAUUGAAGAUAGUUUUGAUGUUUGUGGGUAUUGUGAUUGCAUUUCUUGAUUGUGAUAGUUUAAAAACUUUCAUUGCACCAGGUUAGGGUGAGAAUUGGGUCCCCUAUUACUGGCUAUGGCCAAGAAAGCAGGAAUCGUGCUGCUCGUCAGCGAAUUCCUAAUCGAACAUGGACUGAUGAGGAUGGCAAUGAGCAUGUUGAGGUAAAUUUCUACAUUCGUGGGCCACAUGGAGCUGGCAAAGUUGGUGCUGAAAUGUUCAAGGAUAAGGUCGAUAAACAGUGGAAGUUUAUCUAUCUGAUUGUUGAGAUCAAAUCCCCAUCCCCAGCGCAAUUUCUGCUCGAAUCUUAUGUCCCUGCUUGAAAUUUAUACGCAUACAAUGGAGUUGCUCCUGUCUGCUCUAUGCUCACGAGGAAAUGAAUGCUCUAGCCUUUAGGUCCUCGUUUAUUUUCUGCUUCAUCUCAAUGCCAGGUUAGUAUGAAUUGUUUAAUCAAUGUUUUGAUGAAUUGUAAACUGUAAUCAUAAGGGCAUGUUGUACAGUUUGCUGCGGGAAUAAUGAGAUUAUCUAUUCUUAACAUUGUGUUUGGAGAUAGUUUAUGUGGCAGUAUUUUGCCGUCUCUUUUCCUCCUGACAUAAUGGAAUGUUAUGAAACUUCAAAUA
Olea europaea var. sylvestris is the source of this 1052-nucleotide long non-coding RNA. RefSeq lists it as uncharacterized. Lineage: Eukaryota; Viridiplantae; Streptophyta; Magnoliopsida; Lamiales; Oleaceae. The transcript has 2 exons. The record is from RefSeq and is a predicted model, not a curated record.